UAACGUGUCAAUAAUAUCAUGUACAUAUGUACAUACACAAUAUCACAUAGAGACAUUCAAGUUUUUUUAAAGAUAAGAAAUAAAUUAAAGAUAAGCUAAAAGACAUUACAUAGAUAUGAAGGAGAUAUAUCUCCCAUGGCACAUACCAAGAGAAAGUCACAUAGAAGAUAAAACAAAGAAUAGUCAUGGCAUACAAUGCCGAACAUAAAUUUUGUUGGGUUUUGUCCAGCACAUGUGGAAAUUAAUAAAGAAAGAGAAAAG
RNAcentral lists this long non-coding RNA (261 nucleotides) under Carica papaya (papaya). RNAcentral's name for it is "long non-coding RNA (CPAP_LNC013207)". Lineage: Eukaryota; Viridiplantae; Streptophyta; Magnoliopsida; Brassicales; Caricaceae. The record is from RNAcentral.